UAUAUAAGGAAAUAAUCGAAUAUACUAACUUGAUAACCACCUCCUCGCCGCUCUGUAUUUUCAUGCCUGCAACCAACUUAAUUGACCUUAUCAUAAAUAACUGAAACCGGAUCAGGCAACACACCAGCUGGAGCAAUGCACAGCAUGAACUCAGAAAAAAUAGCGUCACCAUGCAGAUAAAACAGGAGAACCUGAAAUGAUAUGCUAUAUCUGCGAAAGGAAUAACGGGAGAUAGCCACUUGAGCCUGCCUGAACAGAACAACAGUUUCCUUAACUUAAACCGGAUAUCGAGGGGGAGAGGAGACCAACCCUUACUUGGGAAGGGAAGUAAGAAGAGAUCUCGGUAGUGAAAUGAUAGGAAAUAUGCAAAAAUUGCUAGGUUUUGGCCCUACUGAGGAGCGAAAAUUCAGAAAAGAAAGGAAAUAUGCCAUGCAUAAAAGCCUAUCAUCAAAGUUGGGCCAUAUUCCAAUAAGAAAAUAAAGGGAGGUGAUCCAAAACAACAAGGGAAAGUAGUGAUGAGCUAUAUUGGAAUCCAAUCAGAACUCAGGAAUUGUGGGUUGGCCAAGGAAUCUAUAUGGAAAUCUAGAUUCAAUAAAUUCUCUAUUCCAACCAGAAAAAAAACAAUAACAAGGAGAUAAUCCUACUUGAAUUCCAGAAGAUACAGUUUAACGAAUGCAAUGCAAGCAAGGGAAAGCAAAACAAAAAAAUAUGUCAAUCGAUCAUACUCCAAGCAUCAACAGCCUUUAGUGCUUCCAGAAAAUCCGUAAAAAGAGCAACAACAGGUUUACUAAAGGCGUGCAG
RNAcentral lists this long non-coding RNA (801 nucleotides) under Brachypodium distachyon (stiff brome). RNAcentral describes it as "long non-coding RNA (BDIS_LNC003236)". The record is from RNAcentral. Lineage: Eukaryota; Viridiplantae; Streptophyta; Magnoliopsida; Poales; Poaceae.